This is an RNA transcript of Pristis pectinata (smalltooth sawfish), 4792 nucleotides long. It is a transcript of the gene named histone H4, with no coding region annotated. The transcript is spliced from 3 exons. NCBI's taxonomy places the organism in Eukaryota, Metazoa, Chordata, Chondrichthyes, Rhinopristiformes, Pristidae. The record is from RefSeq and is a predicted model, not a curated record.
CGGGCCUGUCCGGGUCCGGGGGUGGGGGCGAGGCCUGGGCCCGGGGGUGGGGGUGAGGCUUUCCCCCGGGCGGGGCGGGGACUGAACUGAAGCGGGGCCGCUCUGUACCUGCUGGGGUUGGAAGAAUGAGAGGUGAUGCCAUCGGCUCCUCCACUGUGGGCAGCGGCCUCUUCCCUUGCUGCUGCCGCCGGUGAGCGACUGCAGCACGGUGCCAACAACAGAUGUGAAGUGAACAGGACCACAGUUCCCUGCUGUUUGUCUUCCACCCUUCUCCAACAAUGGGGUCACAUCUGAGGUUUUCCAACCCGGCUCGGACCUUCCUGGAACACACCCGACCGAUGAAGGCAAUCAUGCCAUCUGCCUUCUUCACCACCUUAGAACAUGGAGCAGUACAGCACAGGAACAGUCUCUUCGGCCCACAAUGUUGUGCCAAACUAAUUAAAUUCGUCAUCAAAUGCCCAACUGAACUAAUGCCUGCUGCCGACACAAUACCCAUAUCCCUCCGUUUCCUGCACAAUCCUGUGCCUAUCUAAGAGCCUUUUGAACGCCUCUGUCGUAUCUGCCUCCACCACCCUGGGCAGUGCAUUCCAGGCACCCACCACUCUCUGUGUUUAAAGAAAAAAACUCCCCGUCCAGCUGUUUUGAACUUACUCCCUCUCACUUUAAGUUCAUGCUCUCUGGUAUUAGAUAUUUCAACCCUGGGAAAAAGAUACCUGCUGUCUAUCUCUGCCUCUCAUAAUCUUAUAAACCUCUGUCAGAUCUUCCCUCGGCCUCCGCCGUUCCAGAGAAAACAACGCAAGUUUGUCCAACCUCUCCUUAGAAUACAUGCUUUCUAAUCCAGGCAGUAUCCUGGUAAACCUCUUCUGCACCCUUUCCAAAGCCUCCACAUCCUUCUUAUGACGGGGUGACCAGAACUGCAUGUAAUACUCCAAGUGCAGUGUGACCAAAGUUUUAUAAAGUUGCAACAUGACUUCCUGACUCUUGAACUCGAUUCCUCCACUAAUAAAGGCAAGCGUGCCAUGUGCCCUGUUUACCACCCUAUCUGCCUGUGCAGCCACUUCCAGGGAGCUAUGGACUUGGACCCCAAGAGUAGUCUGCACAUCAGCACGCUUAAGGGUCUUGCCAUUAACUGUAUACUCACCCUUUAGAUUUGAUCUCCCAAAGUGCAACAAUUCACAUUUGGCCGGGUUAAAUGCCACCUGCCAUUUCUCUGCCCAUAUCUGCAACUGAUCAAUAACCCGCUGAUUCUUUGGCAUCUUCUACACUAUCCCCAACACCACCGAUCUUCGUAUUGCCUGCAAACUUUCAAGCCCACCCAUCUACAUUUUCAUUCAGGUCAUUUCUAUAUACUGUAUAUCACAACCAGCAGAGGCCCCAGUACAGAUCCCUGUGGAACACCAAUAGUCACAGACCUCCAACCAGACCAAGUCUCAUCGACCACUCGCCUGUAUUUUUUUGUGCAAGCCAGUUCUGAAUUGAAACAUAGUGGCUGCACAGUGGAUCCCAUGCAUCUUAAUCUUCUGGAUGAGCCUCCCAUGAGUGCCCUUGUCAAAUGACUUACUAAAAUCCAUGUAGACACCACCCACAGCCCUACCUUCAUCACAUCCUCAAAAAACUGAAGUUAGUAAGGCACUACUUGCCCCACACAAAGCCAUGCUGACUGUCCCUAAUUAGGCCAUGGUUUUCCAAAUGCUCAGUAAAUCCUAUCCUGAAGAAUUCUCUCUGGUAACUUCCCUACCACUGACGUGAGACUCGCCCAUCUAUAGUUUCCAGGGUUAUACGGAAUGACAUUAGCUACUUGCCAGUCCUCUGGGAUCUCACCUGUGGCGAGAGAGGACACAGAGAUAUUGGUCAAGGCCCCAGCAGUCUCAUCCCUUGCCUCUCUCAAUAACCUUGAGUAUAUCACAUCAGGCCCUGGGGACUCAUCCACCUUAAUGUUUGAGAGACCCAGCACUACCUCCUUUAUCUUGAUGAAAUGCCCUAGCAUAUUAGCACGCUCCACACUGAUCUCACUGUUCUCCAUGUCCUUCUCCUUGGUAAAUACUGACGCAAAGUUCUCGUGUAGGACCUCACCAGCAUCCUCCACCUCCAAGCACAUGUUCCCUCCUUUAUCCUUAAGUGGUCCUACCGGCUCCCUUGCUAUCCUCUUGCUCUUGAUGUAUUUAUACAAUGCCUUGGGAUUCUCUUUAAUCCUACUUGCCAAGGACUUUACACGGCCCUGCCUGGCUCUCCUUAUUCCCUUCCUGGGUUGUUUUCUGCUGCCUUUAUAAACCUCAAGGGCUCUGUUUGAAUUUAGCUUCCUAAACCUCACACAGGCUUUUUCUUCUUGACUAAAUUCAGCACCUCUCUCGUCAUCCAAGGUUCCCUUCCCUUCCCAUCCUUGGCCUUCCUUUACUGGAACAUCCCUGUCCUGUACUCUGUGUAGUUGGUCUUUAAACACCGUACACAUGUCAGAUGUGGACUUGCCCAAAAACUGCUGUUCCCAGUUAACUCUCCCGAGUUCCUGCCUAAUGCUCUCGUAAUUUGCCCUGCUUCAAUUUCAUGCUCUCCCGCAAGGUCCUUAUGUGUCCAUAUUCAUAGCUACCUUAAAACUUAAGGAGUUGUGGUCACUGUUCCCUCACUGUUCUCCUGCUGAAGGUUCAGUCACCUGGCCAGGCUCAUUACCCAACACCAGCUCAAGUACGGCCAGGCCCGUCCUGUUGUUGGACUAUCUACAUAUUGACCCUCCUGGAUGCACCUAACAAAUUCUGCCCCAUCUAAACUUCUUGCACUCAGGAGUUCCCAGGGAAGUUGAAGUCACCCACUACAACAGUCCUGUUGUUUUUACAACAUUCCCUCACCUGCCUGCAUAUCUGUUGCUCAAUGUCCCGGCGGCAAUUGCUGGGUCUGUGGAUUGGCCCUUUCUUAUGUUUGAGUUCUACCCAUAUAGACUCAGUGGAUGAGCCCAGCAUUAUGUCCCCUCUGAGUGCAGCUGUGAUAUUGUCCCUGAUUAAUAGUGCAACCCCUUCCCCCCUUUUACCCCCCCCCCCUUUUACCUACCCCUCCAUCUUUUUGAGAACAUUGAAUCCCUGGAACAUUAAGCAUCCAGCCCUGUCCCUCUCUCAACCAAGUCUCUGUAAUGGCCCCAACAUCAUAGUUUCAUGUACUGAUCCCUGCUCUUCAGUUCCUCACCCUUCCCCAUAAAACUGCUGGCAUUACUGUAUACACACACUUCAACCCGUCCAUCCCAUUGUGUCUCUUACCGUGCUCCUGCCUGUUCUUACUGCUCAUGACAUAUACCUUCCUCGCAACCCCUCCCCUUUCUGACCUGGUGCUCUAGUUCCCAUCCCACUGCCAAACCAGCUUAAACCCUCCCGAUUAGCACCAGUGAACCUCCCAGCCAGGAUAUUGGUUCCCCUCCAGUUAUGGCACAACCCCUCCCUCUUGUACAGGUCGCCUCUGACCCAGAGGAGGUUCCAAUGAUUCAAGAACCUGAAAUUCUGCCCCCUGCACCAGUUCCUCAGCCACACAUUCAUCUGUUCUAUCUUUCUAUUCCUGCCCUAACUGGCACGUGGCACUGGGAGUAAUCCAGUUGCGUAGCCACCUUAUCCACCUGCAUAGCUACUGACACUGAGCUAUGGACUUGGACUCUGUCUCACUGCUAUGAAGGGGCAUACCACCAAUUGUAUACUUCCAUUUGACCUGCCAAAGUGCAGCACCUCACACUUGCCCGGAUUAAACUGGAUCUGCCACUUCUCUGCCCAUAUACAGUAUGUAGCUGAUCUAUAUUCUGCUUAUUGCCUUGAUAGUCAUUUGCACUGUCCACAACUACACCGAUCUUGUGUCAUCCGCAAACUUACUGAUCCACCCAUCGACAUUUACAUCCAAGUCAUUGAUGUGUAUCACAAACAAGAGGUCCCAGUGGCCAUGGACCUCCAGCCAGAAUCACAGCCUUCCACUCCUACUCUGACUCUGUCUUCUAUAGGAAAGCCUGCUCUGAAUCCAAACUGGCAAUUCACCCUGGAUCCCUUGCAUUUUUAUCUUCUGAAUCAACCUGCCAUGAGGGACCUCGUCAAAUGCCUCACUGAAGUCCAUGUAGAUAACGUCCACUGCCUUGCCCUCAUCAAGCACCUUUGUCACCUCCAAGAAAAAAUUUAGUCAAGUUUGUCAGACAUGAUCUGCCCCGCACAAAGCAAUGCUGACCAUCCCUACGUAGGCCAUGCCUUUCCAAAUGUGCAUAAAUUCUACCCCUAACUACUGUCUCCAAUAGCUUCCUGACCACUGAUGUGAGGCUCACUGGUCUAUAAUUAACUGUUAUCCCUGUUUCCCUUGUUGAACAAAGACACAACAUUAGCAACUUGCCAGUCCUCCAAGACCAUGCCUGUGGCUCAAGAGGACAUGAAGAUAUUGGUCAACACCCCAGCAAUCUCAUCCCUUGCCUCUCACAAUAACCUGGUGUUGAUGCCAUCGGGCCCUGGGGGUUUAUCCACCUAAAUGGUUGUCAGAAUAGCCAGCACCACCUCCUCCUUAACCUCAGUGUUCCAGCACAUAAGCAUGUUUUCACAGUCCUCCAAUUCCUUCUCAGUAAAUGUUGAUGCAAAGCACUCAUUCAGUCCCUCAGCUACUUGCUCUGACACCAAGCACACGUUCCCCCUUUAUCCCUGAGUGAAUCCACCCUCUCCUUAAUUAUCCUCUUUUUCUUAAUACAAGUAUAAAAUGCUGUGGGAUCCUCCUUGAUCCUGCUCACCAAGGACAUUUCAUGGCCCCUUUUGGCCUUGCUAAUCACCUGUUUGAGCACUUUCCUGUUAUCUUU